Chiroxiphia lanceolata (lance-tailed manakin) is the source of this 2176-nucleotide long non-coding RNA. RefSeq lists it as uncharacterized. Lineage: Eukaryota; Metazoa; Chordata; Aves; Passeriformes; Pipridae. The record is from RefSeq and is a predicted model, not a curated record. The transcript is spliced from 5 exons.
CGGGGCACAAUACGUGUGGUUGUGCAGGAUGUGGCUGUUCCUGCAGGACCACGUGCUCCCUGCCCCACUGCCUCCAGAGCUUCCCUGACUUCUGGGGGGCUCCUGAAUCCCGUUUUGCCUCCAACAAGGAAGUUAUCCUGGUCUUUCAAAGAUGCUCGUCCCCUGCAACAUGAAUUUUGAGGGCUGAGAGCUGGACACUUUUAAGAAACCAGCAGCUGUGGGUUUAGGGUGCAGCAGAGCCUGCAGUGCAGCGUGAAGUGAUGCAGAAGUGUGGAUGGCACCGGGAGCUGCUGCGCCUGCUCCUGCUGCUAUUCCUGGCACGCAGGGACUGAGCAGCGUCUGAUGGGCCAAAUGGAAAGAACUGAAAAUAGUCCACAGUGAAUUCCUGGAGGAGAUGGGAAAAGAUCUGUGGACUGCAGGCCCCCAAUCUGUGAUUUACAUCUCUCCUUUACAGCUCAGAGUCCCAAAAUGUCCCCAACCUUUCUGCGUGUCUCUGAAGUUGAAUUUGGGUUCAGCAGUUUGGGCUCUAAUUGAACAGCCUCAACAGGGCAUCAGAUGGGGAUGACAAAAGCACUCUGGACACAGCAGCUUUUUUCCAAGGCCCUCAAUCCCUCCCAGGACACGGUGAGCAUUGUUGUGAUGGUUCUGUAUUAUGGGCAAGCAAGGUAAGAAGUGAUUUUAUCACUGACUUGAUGUGGAAUUGCCCAGUGGUCUACAAAACAGUCAAGUUCAAAUUAGAAGCUUUUGGUUGUCACUUUACAGAGUGAUGUUCUGGAAAUAUCCAAGUCAUGAUGCCUUUGCCCAGUUUUGCUUUCCAUGCCUGUGCCCCACACUGUGAAUUUGUGCCAUUCCUCACAUCAUUAGAGUCCUCUGUUUGUAUUAGUAAAUGCUUUUUACUCCUCUGAAGACAUUUUAUGAAUUUGUAAACUAUUCCCAUGCAUUCUGUCCCUAUAACUGAGCUAUAAGUGUUAUUUUGGAGAUAUUUCCUAAGUAAUCUCUGUGUAGUUUGCCUAGAGUGAAGUUAUUGACUUGUCUCAGAAAGGCCUUAAGGUUUUAUAGUUAAUGCUUAAGUGCCUAAAGCUUCCUCCCUGGCUGAACAUUCCUUCUCCUAUGAAUUGCUAAUUCCAAUUGAUCUGAGAAAAAAAAGAAAGAAAUAGUUUGUAUUUUCUCUACUUUUUGCUCUGACUGUGCACCUACCAAGGUCUCUUCUUGCUUUGAUCCCAUCUCUGUGAUUAAAUUCAUUCUUCCUUUCUGUUUUCCAGCUUCUCUCUGCAAACUUCCUCUCACUCCAUUUCUGCAAGAACUUUUGCUGCAAACCAGGUCCCUGAGAGGAUCACUGAGGGGGAGGCCAAUUUAUUUCUAUUUAUUUAUAAAUGAGCUGCAGAGACUUGGCCCCUUUUUAAACAUAAGAACAAUUUUCGGGCCUCUUUCAGUUGUGGUUAUUUCACUCAAAAGAAAAAAAAAACAAAACCAACCCCAAGCACAGAACAAUAGAGAAAUAUGAGGAGUUGUGGAAACCCCUCAAACUUUCUCUGUUUAGAUUUUACAUUCCUGGUGGUCACAGGGCCAGGUGAUGCUGCCAGUUGUGUUUUCUUCUGGAGUGCCUGGCUUGGAUGAUCCCAAAGCACCAAGCUGAGUUCAUUGCUGUGAUCAAACCAGAAUGACACCUCUGGGGUUUUUUUGGGGUUUUUUUUUUUUGCCCUUAAGGUUUUGGAAUUUGAGCCUUUGAAAAACAGGGUUACUGGACUCUAGUAAAUGAAGUGUCUGGAUGUCAGUGAUGAUUCAUAAAAGCAAUUACAAAAAAGGAAAGUGCUUUUCCUCUGAGCGUAAUGUCUUGGUUUGAAGAUGCCCUAAAAGUGAGUGUUGUGCUGCUCUGUUUCCAGCACAACACUUCUUAUCCUGUGGUUCUGCUGAUCUAAACCAAAUUUUUUUCACCCAGUCACAGAACAGUUGGGGUUGGAAGGGACCUCUGGGGUCACUCAGUCCAACCCCCCUGCCCAGGCAGGGUCACCUGGAGCAGGUGACCCAGGAACGUGUCCAGGUGGGGUCGGGAUGUCUCCAGAGAGGGAGACUCCACACCCUCCCUGGGCAGCUGUUCCAGUGCUCUGCCACCCUAAAUUCUUCCCCAUGUUGGGCUGGAACUUGUUGUGUUUUCCUUUAUGGCCGUUGCUCCUCG